Molecule: ribosomal RNA, 279 nt
Filed under: uncultured bacterium
Lineage: Bacteria
Description: partial 16S ribosomal RNA
Rfam family: Bacterial small subunit ribosomal RNA
Source: RNAcentral
UGCCAGCAGCCGCGGUAAUACGAAGGGUGCUAGCGUUGUUCGGAAUUACUGGGCGUAAAGAGCAUGUAGGCGGAUGAAUUAGUCAGAGGUGAAAGCCCCGAGCUCAACUUGGGAACUGCCUUUGAUACUGUUUAUCUAGAGUCCGAGAGAGGUUAGUGGAAUUCCCAGUGUAGAGGUGAAAUUCGUAGAUAUCUGGAGGAACAUCAGUGGCGAAGGCGGCUCCCUGGCCAAAGACUGACGCUCAUGUGCGAAAGUGUGGGUAGCGAACGGGAUUAGAUA